CAGUGUGCAGGCCCGUGGGAGGUUCUCCAGGGAACCUUGGCUGUCUCAGUGCGUCGGUGCAGAAGGAGGUGGCGCCUGGGUGCAGAAGGAGAUGGCGCGUCGGUGCAGAAGGAGGUGGCGUGUCGGUGCAGAAGGAGAGGGGUUUCCGCAUCGGUUUGACGAUCCCAGGCUCCCCCUAAGUUAUGCCUGCACAACUGGAGUAUGUUAUGUGAAAGGAAAAUAAAUCUUGGGAUUCCAGAAUCACUCAGCCAAAGGGAAAAGUCAACCUGGGAACUGCAGCUCGGCAAACAUGCCUCCCAUUCUAUUCCUAAAUAAGAGAGCUAUGAAGAAAGCUACACACCUCCGUCAGUACCUCCCCGCAAGGAAAUUCCUUGUGGACCGGUACAGACAGAACCGAAAGUCCUCCCUCUGCUCACGUGAGACAAAUGCGUAACUGGUGGUUUCCUCUGCCCUCUUGUUUCACUAAGCCAGACUAAGGUAUAAGUGAUGAUUCCUGUAAAUUGUGUAUUCAGUGAAAGGCUCAUCAGAAACUCAGAAGAAUGCAACCAUUUGUCUCGUAUCUACUGAUGACCUGGAAGCCCUCUCUGAGCUUAGAGCUGUCCAGCCUUUCCAGACCAAACCAAUGUACACCUUACAUGUACUGACUGAUGUCUCAUGCCUCCCUAAAAUAUAUAAAACCAAGCUGUGCCCCGACCACCUCGGGAACAUGUCAUCAGGGCCUCCUGAGGUUGUAUCACUGGUGCGUCCUUAACCUUGGCAAAAUAAACUUUCUAAACCAAUUAAAACC
Molecule: long non-coding RNA, 787 nt
Filed under: Homo sapiens (human)
Lineage: Eukaryota; Metazoa; Chordata; Mammalia; Primates; Hominidae
Description: HSALNT0000846
Source: RNAcentral